AGUCUACAAAACCCCACAUCCCCUGAGAAUUCUCUCGCCUGCCUUAGGCACUUAGGCUCCGGGAGAUUGCAAAUAACCUGCUUUCUUUCUGUUCCCGGGCUGCGUUCGGACUCCUGUCAGAUAGUAAAUCCUAAGUGGCGUCGGACCCCUGUCAGAGAGUAAAUCUCAAGUAAGGUACCUGCCAUCGGCAGAUUUGAGCUUUCUUCUUGGACACCUAAUACCCACAGUCCUCCAGGCUCCGGUAGACUGCAAAUGACCUGCUUUCUUUCUGUUCCCGGGCUGCGUUUGGACCCCUGUCGGAUAGUAAAUCCCAAGUAAGGUACCUGCCCUCGGCAGAUUUGAGCUUUCUUCUUGGACACCUAAUACCCACAGUCCCCCAGGCUCCGGUAGACUGCAAAUGACCUGCUUUCUUUCUGUUCCCGGGCUGCGUUUGGACCCCUGUCGGACAGUAAAUCCCAAGUAAGGUACCUGCCCUCGGCAGAUUUGAGCUUUCUUCUUGGACACCUAAUACCCACAGUCCUCCAGGAAUGGAACAGAUAAGAAGAUACUGAAAUUGGACGGUGCUGCCGUGCGGCUGCCGCAGGACACCUUUAAUAUCCCUGUUUCUCAGGCUGUAGAUGAAGGGGUUCAGCAUGGAGGUGAUCACCGUGUACAUCACUGAGGCCACUGCAGCCUUUCUCGGGGAAGAUGACACAUCUGAACUGAGGAUAACUUCAGGAAGUGGGUAUUAAUUCUCACGGUAUAAGUGAAGACAUUAAGCACCAGAGUUUAAGUAGCUUGAUCCACUGAAAGAGAUUCAACUGUGUGGAACCUAUGCCGUGGAGAAUUGCUUUCUGCCAUUGUUAUCGUCCAGCAGUUGCCGAAUAGCUCUGACCUGAGCAAAGCAGUGAAACGCGGUGCUGUUGAGUGGGUUGCCACUGCACCUUUUUCAACUACUCUAGUCUUGUGGAGAAAAUACCCCUUCUAAAUUUUUUCUUCAUUGAAUACUCUCCCUCAGCUCCAGAGUACCAUAUAGAGUUUUCUUGUAUUUUAGAGUUACUGUUUUAUCAAAGUUUACCAGUCUUUUGUAUUACAUUUCUCCUGUCUAAAUCGACUGUGUGGUUUCUACUCAUUAUGGAUAUAGAUUGAUACAAACUCAAUAAAUAUUUUUGAAUGAAUAA
This 1160-nucleotide long non-coding RNA is filed under the name Homo sapiens (human). RNAcentral describes it as "long intergenic non-protein coding RNA 1198". The record is from RNAcentral. Lineage: Eukaryota; Metazoa; Chordata; Mammalia; Primates; Hominidae.